GAUGAACGCUGGCGGCGUGCCUAAUACAUGCAAGUCGAGCGAACAGACGAGGAGCUUGCUCCUCUGACGUUAGCGGCGGACGGGUGAGUAACACGUGGAUAACCUACCUAUAAGACUGGGAUAACUUCGGGAAACCGGAGCUAAUACCGGAUAAUAUAUUGAACCGCAUGGUUCAAUAGUGAAAGACGGUUUUGCUGUCACUUAUAGAUGGAUCCGCGCCGCUUUAGCUAGUUGGUAAGGUAACGGCUUACCAAGGCAACGAUGCGUAGCCGACCUGAGAGGGUGAUGGGCCACACUGGAACUGAGACACGGUCCAGACUCCUACGGGAGGCAGCAGUAGGGAAUCUUCCGCAAUGGGCGAAAGCCUGACGGAGCAACGCCGCGUGAGUGAUGAAGGUCUUCGGAUCGUAAAACUCUGUUAUUAGGGAAGAACAAAUGUGUAAGUAACUAUGCACGUCUUGACGGUACCUAAUCAGAAAGCCACGGCUAACUACGUG
RNAcentral lists this ribosomal RNA (497 nucleotides) under uncultured bacterium. Its description in RNAcentral is "partial 16S ribosomal RNA". It matches the Rfam family "Bacterial small subunit ribosomal RNA", at positions 28 to 507 of the family's 1533-position model. The record is from RNAcentral.